UGAAAGUAUGGUGGCUGUGAAGGUGGGU
Molecule: non-coding RNA, 28 nt
Filed under: Rattus norvegicus (Norway rat)
Lineage: Eukaryota; Metazoa; Chordata; Mammalia; Rodentia; Muridae
Source: RNAcentral